RNAcentral lists this ribosomal RNA (392 nucleotides) under uncultured bacterium. Its description in RNAcentral is "partial 16S ribosomal RNA". It matches the Rfam family "Bacterial small subunit ribosomal RNA", at positions 523 to 918 of the family's 1533-position model. The record is from RNAcentral.
AUACGGAGGAUGCGAGCGUUAUCCGGAUUUAUUGGGUUUAAAGGGUGCGCAGGCGGCCAUUUAAGUCAGCGGUUAAAUCGUGGGGCUCAACCCCAUUCUGCCGUUGAUACUGGGUGGCUUGAUUGCGGUCGAGGUUGGCGGAAUUCGUUGUGUAGCGGUGAAAUGCAUAGAUAUGACGAAGAACACCGAUUGCGUAGGCAGCUGACCAGACCGCAAAUGACGCUCAUGCACGAAAGUGCGGGGAUCGAACAGGAUUAGAUACCCUGGUAGUCCGCACAGUAAACGAUGAAUACUUGUUUUCGGCGAUAUAAUGUCGGAGGCAAAGCGAAAGCGAUAAGUAUUCCGCCUGGGGAGUACGGCCGCAAGGUUGAAACUCAAAGGAAUUGACGGGG